AGCUGAUCACUGGGUGUAAAGCGUGCGCAGGCGGUUUUGUAAGACAGAGGUGAAAUCCCCGGGCUCAACCUGGGAACUGCCUUUGUGACUGCAAGGCUGGAGUGCGGCAGAGGGGGAUGGAAUUCCGCGUGUAGCAGUGAAAUGCGUAGAUAUGCGGAGGAACACCGAUGGCGAAGGCAAUCCCCUGGGCCUGCACUGACACUCAUGCACGAAAGCGUGGGGAGCAAACA
This 230-nucleotide ribosomal RNA is filed under the name uncultured Alicycliphilus sp. RNAcentral's name for it is "partial 16S ribosomal RNA". It matches the Rfam family "Bacterial small subunit ribosomal RNA", at positions 550 to 774 of the family's 1533-position model. Lineage: Bacteria; Pseudomonadati; Pseudomonadota; Betaproteobacteria; Burkholderiales; Comamonadaceae. The record is from RNAcentral.